RNAcentral lists this long non-coding RNA (1124 nucleotides) under Homo sapiens (human). RNAcentral's name for it is "HSALNT0152894". Lineage: Eukaryota; Metazoa; Chordata; Mammalia; Primates; Hominidae. The record is from RNAcentral.
CAGCAAUGAGGUGUGGCUGUAGCCCAGGAAUAGUCAGGGAAGCAGAUAAUUUAAAUUUAGUUAAAGUGUCUCGGCCUAAUAAGGGAACAGGGCAGGUGGGGAUAACUAAAAAGGAGUGCUUAAAAGAGUAUUGUCUAAGUUGGCACCAGAGUUGAGGAGUUUUAAGAGGUUUAGAAGCCUGGCCGUCAGUACCUGCAAUAGUUACGGAGGCAAGGGAAACAAGCCUUUGAAAAGAAGGUAAUGUGGAGUGGGUUGCCUCUGUAUUGAUUAAGAAGGGGACAGACUUACCCUCCACUGUGAGAGUUACCCAGAGCGUCUGUGAUGGUCCUGUAGGCUUUUGAGGCGAUCUGGCAGUGUCAGUCUUCAGCUGCUAAGCUGAGAAGAUCUGGGAAGGAGUCAGAGAGCCUUGGGCCAGAGUUCUAGGGGCCCUGAGAGUGGCUGCCAGGGCACCGUGUCCAGCAGUGAGGCCACACCGGUUUGGGACGGCCAGAAGAUGGAAGUGCUCACACCUGACUUCUGGUCAGGCUGCUGCUCAGCAGGAGGCACGCAGAAGCUGCCGGGGAAAGCCUCUCCCAUCUGUGCGGCAAAAGGAGAGCAGCUGGCCCGAGAGUCCCUCUGCAUAAUGCAAUUACUCACAAUGUAGGGCUGGCAAGAUGAUCAAAGGAGGUGCGGUGUGACUCGCAAGCUGGAGAGACGGGAAAGCCUGCUCCUGAUGUGGAAAGCAUCAUUAUUAUCCCCCACUGCAGACAGCCACAGAGCGCUGGAGCUGGGAGGAACCUUCCAGAUCCCUCAGGGGCUGGACUGCUUAUCUCCACAGCAGCAGCCCCGCACCUCUGAGGCAACAAAGCUAGAAGCUGUCAUUUCAAGUGGAGAAACGCAGGCGCAGAAAAGAACCUGGAACUAGCAGCUGUUUUGGCAGCCAGAUGAGAUGCCCCCUGGGAGAGCCAUGCCUCUUGUGGAAAGGGCCUGCUCCUCCUCACCUUCAGGAAGUUCUACUAAAAUUCAGUAAUCUUACUAGGCAGUAAGAUUCAGGACAUAGGCAUGGGCAAGGACUUCAUGUCUAAAACACCAAAAGCAAUGGCAACAAAAGACAAAAUUGACAAAUGGGAUCUAAUUAAACUAAA